GCUUAUCUGAACGUAAGUAAGAUUCGAACCUGCAGCAGGUUCGGGUCGAGCCAUUUAUGGCGAGACAACGGAGCCGCUUGCGGCGACGGCCCGAAAGGCGAGCGAAGCGAGUCAUCCUGCACGACCCACCA
Molecule: small RNA, 131 nt
Filed under: Cronobacter turicensis
Lineage: Bacteria; Pseudomonadati; Pseudomonadota; Gammaproteobacteria; Enterobacterales; Enterobacteriaceae
Description: RtT sRNA
Rfam family: RtT RNA
About the family: This family represents a bacterial cis-regulatory element known as RtT RNA. The exact function of RtT is unknown although it is thought that it may be involved in changing the cellular response in relation to amino acid starvation.
Source: RNAcentral